This 467-nucleotide ribosomal RNA is filed under the name uncultured bacterium. RNAcentral's name for it is "partial 16S ribosomal RNA". It matches the Rfam family "Bacterial small subunit ribosomal RNA", at positions 29 to 507 of the family's 1533-position model. The record is from RNAcentral.
ACGAACGCUGGCGGCGUGCUUAACACAUGCAAGUCGAACGGAAAGGCCCUGCUUUUGUGGGGUGCUCGAGUGGCGAACGGGUGAGUAACACGUGAGUAACCUGCCCUUGACUUUGGGAUAACUUCAGGAAACUGGGGCUAAUACCGGAUAUGAGCUCCUGCUGCAUGGUGGGGGUUGGAAAGUUUCGGCGGUUGGGGAUGGACUCGCGGCUUAUCAGCUUGUUGGUGGGGUAGUGGCUUACCAAGGCUUUGACGGGUAGCCGGCCUGAGAGGGUGACCGGCCACAUUGGGACUGAGAUACGGCCCAGACUCCUACGGGAGGCAGCAGUGGGGAAUAUUGCACAAUGGGCGGAAGCCUGAUGCAGCAACGCCGCGUGCGGGAUGACGGCCUUCGGGUUGUAAACCGCUUUCGCCUGUGACGAAGCGUGAGUGACGGUAAUGGGUAAAGAAGCACCGGCUAACUACGUG